This 460-nucleotide ribosomal RNA is filed under the name uncultured bacterium. Its description in RNAcentral is "partial 16S ribosomal RNA". It matches the Rfam family "Bacterial small subunit ribosomal RNA", at positions 338 to 795 of the family's 1533-position model. The record is from RNAcentral.
CCUACGGGUGGCAGCAGUGAGGAAUAUUGGUCAAUGGACGCAAGUCUGAACCAGCCAUGCCGCGUGCAGGAAGACGGCUCUAUGAGUUGUAAACUGCUUUUGUACGAGGGUAAACGCAGAUACGCGUAUCUGUCUGAAAGUAUCGUACGAAUAAGGAUCGGCUAACUCCGUGCCAGCAGCCGCGGUAAUACGGAGGAUUCAAGCGUUAUCCGGAUUUAUUGGGUUUAAAGGGUGCGUAGGCGGUCGGAUAAGUUAGAGGUGAAAUCCCGGGGCUCAACUUCGGAAUUGCCUCUGAUACUGGUAGGCUAGAGAGUAGUUGAGGUAGGCGGAAUGUGUGGUGUAGCGGUGAAAUGCUUAGAGAUCAUACAGAACACCGAUUGCGAAGGCAGCUUACCGGGCUACUACUGACGUUGAGGCACGAAAGCGUGGGGAGCAAACAGGAUUAGAUACCCCUGUAGUC